GGCUGGUCCGAUGGCAGUGGGUUAUCAGAACUUAUUAACAUUAGUGUCACUAAAGCUGGUAUACCCCCCCCCACUGCUAAAUGUGACUGGCUUAAA
Cavia porcellus (domestic guinea pig) is the source of this 96-nucleotide unclassified non-coding RNA. It matches the Rfam family "Y RNA". Rfam says of the family: Y RNAs are components of the Ro ribonucleoprotein particle (Ro RNP), in association with Ro60 and La proteins. The Y RNAs and Ro60 and La proteins are well conserved, but the function of the Ro RNP is not known. The record is from Ensembl. Lineage: Eukaryota; Metazoa; Chordata; Mammalia; Rodentia; Caviidae.